RNAcentral lists this transfer RNA (69 nucleotides) under Ictidomys tridecemlineatus (thirteen-lined ground squirrel). Its description in RNAcentral is "Spermophilus tridecemlineatus (thirteen-lined ground squirrel) tRNA". It matches the Rfam family "tRNA". From Rfam's summary of the family: Transfer RNA (tRNA) molecules are approximately 80 nucleotides in length. The record is from Rfam by way of RNAcentral. Lineage: Eukaryota; Metazoa; Chordata; Mammalia; Rodentia; Sciuridae. RNAcentral also lists the same sequence under 1 other name.
GGGGCUGUAGCUCAGUGGCAGAGCGCUUGCCUAGUACACGUAAGGCACUGGGUUCAAUCCUCAGCACCA